GAACGCUAGCUACAGGCUUAACACAUGCAAGUCGAGGGGGCAGCAGGAAUCUAGCUUGCUAGAUUGCUGGCGACCGGCGCACGGGUGCGUAACACGUAUCCAAUCUACCCCAUUGCUCAGGGAUAGCCUUGCGAAAGUAAGAUUAAUACCUGAUGGUCUCACGCCUCCGCAUGGCGGUGUGAGUAAAGAUUCAUCGGCGAUGGAUGAGGAUGCGUACGAUUAGGUAGUCGGCGGGGUAACGGCCCACCGAGCCUGCGAUCGUUAGGGGUUCUGAGAGGAACGGUCCCCCACACUGGAACUGAGACACGGUCCAGACUCCUACGGGAGGCAGCAGUGAGGAAUAUUGGUCAAUGGUCGAGAGACUGAACCAGCCAAAAGUAGCGUGGAGGGACGACUCGCCCUAGUGGGUUAGUAAACCUCUUUUGUUUGGGAAUAAAGUGCCGUACGUGUACGGUUUUGUAUGUACCUUACGAAUAAGCAUCGGCUAAUUCCGUGCCAGCCGCAGC
This 506-nucleotide ribosomal RNA is filed under the name uncultured bacterium. Its description in RNAcentral is "bacterial SSU rRNA". It matches the Rfam family "Bacterial small subunit ribosomal RNA", at positions 31 to 518 of the family's 1533-position model. The record is from RNAcentral.